AAGAGGGGAGAAGAAAUAAGAUUGCUGAGGCAGUAAAAGUCAAACAGUGGAACCGUAACAUGACAAAAGGCCAGCAGGGCAGCGACUGUAACAAACAGCAGAGAGUGACUCGAGUCUGUGCGAGAGCAGCGGCAGAGGAAGGUGAAAUUCCUGUGCGGUCAUUAUUCCAGCAUCCUCUGCAUCCCCACUCAAACCCCAUUUCCCAGUGGACUCACACAGCACCCGCAGGGCCUGCUCGCUCCUCUUGUCCCCCAGGGCCAGGGAGGGAUGGUUGACGGCGCAGGUGAUGA
Long non-coding RNA from Labrus mixtus (cuckoo wrasse), 290 nucleotides. RefSeq lists it as uncharacterized. The record is from RefSeq and is a predicted model, not a curated record. The transcript has 3 exons. Lineage: Eukaryota; Metazoa; Chordata; Actinopteri; Labriformes; Labridae.